AGGGAAUCUUCCACAAUGGCCGAAAGUCUGAUGGAGCACCGCCGCGUGGGGGAUGAAGGUUUUCGGAUCGUAAAACUCUUUUGUAAGGGAGGAACAAGUACGUAAGGCAAUGGAGUUACCUUGACGGUACCUUAUUAGAAAGCCACGGCUAAAUCGGUGCCAGCAGCCGCGGUAAUACGGAGUGGCAAGCGUUGUCCGGAAUUAUUGGGCGUAAAGCGCGCGCAGGUGGUUUCUUAAGUCUGAUGUGAAAGCCCACGGCUUAACCGUGGAGGGUCAUUGGAAACUGGGAGACUUGAGUGCAGAAGAGGAAAGUGGAAUUCCAAGUGUAGCGGUGAAAUGCGUAGAGAUUUGGAGGAACACCAGUGGCGAAGGCGACUUUCUGGUCUGCAACUGACGCUGAGGCGCGAAAGCAUGGGGAGCAAACA
This 425-nucleotide ribosomal RNA is filed under the name uncultured Rummeliibacillus sp. Its description in RNAcentral is "bacterial SSU rRNA". It matches the Rfam family "Bacterial small subunit ribosomal RNA", at positions 356 to 774 of the family's 1533-position model. Lineage: Bacteria; Bacillati; Bacillota; Bacilli; Caryophanales; Caryophanaceae. The record is from RNAcentral.